GGAAUCUUCCACAAUGGGCGCAAGCCUGAUGGAGCAACACCGCGUGAGUGAAGAAGGGUUUCGGCUCGUAAAGCUCUGUUGUUAAAGAAGAACACGUACGAGAGUAACUGUUCAUUCGAUGACGGUAUCUAACCAGCAAGUCACGGCUAACUACGUGCCAG
RNAcentral lists this ribosomal RNA (161 nucleotides) under uncultured bacterium. Its description in RNAcentral is "partial 16S rRNA". It matches the Rfam family "Bacterial small subunit ribosomal RNA", at positions 358 to 511 of the family's 1533-position model. The record is from RNAcentral.